This 253-nucleotide ribosomal RNA is filed under the name uncultured bacterium. Its description in RNAcentral is "partial 16S ribosomal RNA". It matches the Rfam family "Bacterial small subunit ribosomal RNA", at positions 524 to 776 of the family's 1533-position model. The record is from RNAcentral.
UACGAAGGGUGCAAGCGUUAUCCGGAUUCAUUGGGUUUAAAGCGCGUGUAGGCGGUCCGGUAAGUCCGCUGUGAAAGUCGAGGGCUCAACCCUCGAAUGCCGGUGGAUACUGUCGGGCUAGAGUACGGAAGAGGCGAGUGGAAUUCCUGGUGUAGCGGUGAAAUGCGCAGAUAUCAGGAGGAACACCAAUUGCGAAGGCAGCUCGCUGGGACGUCACUGACGCUGAGACGCGAAAGCGUGGGGAGCAAACAGG